GAUGAAGAACGUAGCGAAAUGCGAUAAGUAAUGUGAAUUGCAGAAUUCAGUGAAUCAUCGAGUCUUUGAACGCACAUUGCGCCCCCUGGUAUUCCGGGGGGCAUGCCUGUCCGAGCGUCAUUGCAGCCCUCAAGCACGGCUUGUGUGUUGGGCCGUCGUCCCCCUCCUAGGGGACGGGCCCGAAAGGCAGCGGCGGCACCGCGUCCGGUCCUCGAGCGUAUGGGGCUUCGUCACCCGCUCCGUAGGCCCGGCCGGCGCUUGCCGACGACCAUCAAUCUCUUUCUCCAGGUUGACCUCGGAUCAGGUAGGGAUACCCGCUGAACUUAAGCAUAUCAAUAAGCGGAGGA
Molecule: unclassified non-coding RNA, 347 nt
Filed under: soil metagenome
Description: partial contains 5.8S ribosomal RNA, internal transcribed spacer 2, and large subunit ribosomal RNA
Rfam family: 5.8S ribosomal RNA (bases 1-120)
Source: RNAcentral